Molecule: ribosomal RNA, 446 nt
Filed under: Oropsylla bruneri
Lineage: Eukaryota; Metazoa; Arthropoda; Insecta; Siphonaptera; Ceratophyllidae
Description: partial large subunit ribosomal RNA
Source: RNAcentral
GUUUGGCGGCGAGGGCGUGCACUUCUCCCCUAGUAGGACGUCGCGACCCGUUGGGUGUCGGUCUACGGCCGCGGUGGUAGCCUGUCGUGAAUUUAUUCUCGUCAGACCCUGCGUGUUCUGGCCGACUGCCCGACGGUAUAUGAUUUUUGUAUAGGGUCGCUAACGUAAGCGUUCGGCCGGUCGCAAGCGUGUGCGGUUCUUUUGGCUGUCGGACCUGGUCCGGCACCGAUCCCGCUCGUGCUGUUGGUGGCCGUGUCCUCGGACAGACUCAUACAGGUCAGCGAUGCUAUUGCUUUGGGUACUUUCAGGACCCGUCUUGAAACACGGACCAAGGAGUCUAGCAUGUGCGCAAGUCAUUGGGAAUCACAAAACCUAAAGGCGUAAUGAAAGUGAAGGUUCGCUUAUGCGGACUGAGGGAUGAURGUUUGUGUUACGAUGCAUACUCG